CAGUAGCCACGGGAAUACAGAGGAUGCGAGCGUUAUCCGGAAUUAUUGGGCGUAAAGGGCUCGCAGGCGGUUUCUUAAGUCUGAUGCGAAAGCCCCCGGCUCAACCGGGGAGGGUCAUUGGAAACUGGGAAACUUGAGUGCAGAAGAGGAGAGUGGAAUUCCACGUGUAGCGGUGGAAUGCGUAGAGAUGUGGAGGAACACCAGUGGCGAAGGCGACUCCCUGGUCCGUAACUGACGCUGAGGAGCGAAAGCGUGGGGAGCGAACAGGAUUAGAUACCCCGGUAGUCCCUGUCUCUUAUAC
This 301-nucleotide ribosomal RNA is filed under the name uncultured bacterium. Its description in RNAcentral is "partial 16S ribosomal RNA". It matches the Rfam family "Bacterial small subunit ribosomal RNA", at positions 509 to 807 of the family's 1533-position model. The record is from RNAcentral.